GAUCUCCCAACCCUGUGUUUACUCAACCUUUUGUUGCUUCGGCGAGUCCGUCCCCCAAAGGGACCGCCGGAGGACCGUCUACACGUCCUCUGGCCCGUGCUCGCCGACGGCCCAAAUCCAAAACUCAUGAACCAAACUUGAAUUGACUGAGUACCACAUUUAAUCAAAACAAAACUUUCAACAACGGAUCUCUUGGUUCUGGCAUCGAUGAAGAACGCAGCGAAAUGCGAUAAGUAAUGCGAAUUGCAGAAUUCCAGUGAGUCAUCGAAUCUUUGAACGCACAUUGCGCCCUUUGGCAUUCCGAAGGGCAUGCCUGUUCGAGCGUCAUUAUCACCUCUCAAGCCCCCUGGGUUUGGCCUUGGACGGCUGGUCGGGCGACGCCCCGACCCCUCCUAAAGACAACGACGGCGGCUUUGUCUGACCCCCGGUACACUGAGCUUCUUAACCGAGCACGUACCGGAACGAGGGUCGGCGGGCCACGGUCUUCUCCCCUUACAGGGAAAUUUUCUCAG
RNAcentral lists this ribosomal RNA (512 nucleotides) under fungal sp. AB50. RNAcentral's name for it is "eukaryotic LSU rRNA". The stretch from base 173 to 327 matches the Rfam family "5.8S ribosomal RNA". Lineage: Eukaryota; Fungi. The record is from RNAcentral.